CUCUUCAGUGUCGGAGGAAGUGCAGGACU
Molecule: non-coding RNA, 29 nt
Filed under: Symbiodinium sp. Mp
Lineage: Eukaryota; Dinophyceae; Suessiales; Symbiodiniaceae
Source: RNAcentral